UUGUACGGCCACUUAAUGAGUUUGUAUCACUGUGGUGGACUUUUGGUGGAGGAACCAAACUCAUCAUUAACUCUGGCACCAUGGUCAGGCCCUCAGUCUCUCUGCUUCCCCCCCUCCUCUGAGCAGCUCUCUGGGGGCUCGGCCACGCUGGCCUGCCUGCUGACCGGCUACUCUCCUCAGGGAGCCGUGGUGAGCUGGCAGGUGGACGGUACGGAGGUGACGGAGGGGGUCCUGAGCAGCUCAGAGGAGGAGAAGAGCGGCCGCUACAGCAGCAGCAGCACCCUGAGCCUGAGCCAGGAGCGCUGGAUGGAAGGAGAGCUGUACUCCUGCAGGGUCCUCCAUCAGGGCCACAGCCAGACCCAGUCCCUCCACAGGAGCCAGUGUAAGGGCUAGAGGGGCCGGCUGAAGCCCAGGACAGGAGCUCUGUGUGGGGGGGAGCAGCUCUGAUCAAUAGCAGUUUGAAUGCUUGUAGAGGAAACUGAAGCUUUGUGUGACAGAGAACAACACUGCUGUAAAGUGUUGGACAACAACAACUUAGAGAGGAAUGUGUGUCGCUCAGCAG
Non-coding RNA from Sebastes umbrosus (honeycomb rockfish), 562 nucleotides. Lineage: Eukaryota; Metazoa; Chordata; Actinopteri; Perciformes; Sebastidae. The record is from the annotation of a RefSeq genome assembly.